This is a non-coding RNA of Kordia algicida OT-1, 44 nucleotides long. Lineage: Bacteria; Pseudomonadati; Bacteroidota; Flavobacteriia; Flavobacteriales; Flavobacteriaceae. The record is from Rfam.
AAGGUCGAAUCCGAAAAACCUUUUAGCUAAAAAUAGAGUAGGAA